AGCAGCCGCGGUAAUUCCAGCUCCAAUAGCGUAUAUUAAAGUUGUUGCAGUUAAAAAGCUCGUAGUUGAAUUUCGGGAUCAAUAUAUCGGUCGUGCCAUUGGUACGUACUGGUAUCAUUGGUUUCUCCUUUCUGACGAACCAUGAUGUCAUUAAUUUGGUGUUAUGGGAAGUUAGGACUGUUACUUUGAAAAAAUUAGAGUGUUUAAAGCAGGCUUCAGCUUGAAUACAUUAGCAUGGAAUAAUGAAAUAGGACGUUCGAACCUAUUUUGUUGGUUUCUAGGAUCAACGUAAUGAUUAAUAGGGAUAGUUGGGGGCAUUAGUAUUCAAUUGUCAGAGGUGAAAUUCUUGGAUUUAUUGAAGACUAACUACUGCGAAAGCAUUUGCCAAGGAUGUUUUCAUUAAUCAAGAACGAAAGUUAGGGGUCGAAGACGGUCAGAUACCGUCGUAGUCUUAACCAUAAACUAUGCCGACUAGGGAUCGGACGAUGUUAAUUUUUUAAUGACUCAUUCGGCGCCUUAC
This 520-nucleotide ribosomal RNA is filed under the name uncultured Glomus. Its description in RNAcentral is "SSU rRNA". It matches the Rfam family "Eukaryotic small subunit ribosomal RNA", at positions 569 to 1091 of the family's 1831-position model. The record is from RNAcentral. Lineage: Eukaryota; Fungi; Glomeromycota; Glomeromycetes; Glomerales; Glomeraceae.